RNAcentral lists this ribosomal RNA (460 nucleotides) under uncultured bacterium. Its description in RNAcentral is "partial 16S ribosomal RNA". It matches the Rfam family "Bacterial small subunit ribosomal RNA", at positions 338 to 795 of the family's 1533-position model. The record is from RNAcentral.
CCUACGUGAGGCAGCAGUGAGGAAUAUUGGUCAAUGGGCUUACGCCUGAACCAGCCAAGUCGCGUGAUGGAAGACUGCCCUAUGGGUUGUAAACCUCUUUUGUCAGGGAGCAACGCCGGCUACGUUUAGCCGGACUGAGAGUACCUGAAGAAAACGCAUCGUCUAACUCCGUGCCAGCAGCCGCGGUAAUACGGAGGAUGCGAGCGUUAUCCGGAUUUAUUGGGUUUCAGGGGUGCGUAGGCGGAAUGCCUAGUCAGCGGUAAAAUCGCGGGGCUCAACCUCGCUCCGCCGUUGCAACUUGCGUUAUUGAGUGGGAGAGAAGUAUGCGGAAUGCGUGGGGUAGCGGUGAAAUGCAUAGAUAUCACGCAGAACUCCGAUUGCGAAGGCAGCAUACCGGCGCCCAACUGACGCUGAAGCACGAAAGCGUGGGUAUCGAACAGGAUUAGAUACCCGGGUAGUC